RNAcentral lists this ribosomal RNA (408 nucleotides) under uncultured bacterium. RNAcentral describes it as "partial 16S ribosomal RNA". It matches the Rfam family "Bacterial small subunit ribosomal RNA", at positions 28 to 526 of the family's 1533-position model. The record is from RNAcentral.
GACGAACGCUGGCGGCGUGCUUAACACAUGCAAGUCGAACGACGUGGCGAACGGGUGAGUAAUCCGUGGGUAUCCUGCCCUCCUUUUUGGGAUAAGCCUUGUAAACGGGGUCUAAUACCGCAUACAGGGGGAUGGGCUCGCGGCCUAUGAGCUGGUUGGUGGGGUGAUGGCCUACCAAUGCGGUGACGGGUAGCCGGCCUGAGAGGGCGAACGGCUACAGUGGGACGGAGAUACGGCCCAGACUACUACGGGAGGGAGCAGUGGGGGAUAUUGCACAAUGGGCGAAAGCCUGAUGCAGCGACGCCGAGGGGGGGAUGAAGGCUGUCGGGUUGUAAACCUAGUACGCUAACGAACGGGUAGGUGGAGAAGAAGCGCCGGCUAACUACGUGCCAGCCGCCGCGGUAAUAC